Molecule: ribosomal RNA, 253 nt
Filed under: uncultured bacterium
Lineage: Bacteria
Description: partial 16S ribosomal RNA
Rfam family: Bacterial small subunit ribosomal RNA
Source: RNAcentral
GACGAACCGUGCAAACGUUGUUCGGAAUCACUGGGCUUAAAGGGCGCGUAGGCGGGCCAGCCAGCCUGUGGUGAAAGCCUCCAGCUUAACUGGAGAAGUGCCGUGGAUACUGCUGGCCUCGAGGAGGAUAGGGGCAUCUGGAACGGUCGGUGGAGCGGUGAAAUGCGUUGAUAUCGACCGGAACUCCGGUGGCGAAGGCGAGGUGCUGGGUCCUUUCUGACGCUGAUGCGCGAAAGCUAGGGGAGCAAACGGG